Molecule: non-coding RNA, 46 nt
Organism: Monodelphis domestica (gray short-tailed opossum)
Lineage: Eukaryota; Metazoa; Chordata; Mammalia; Didelphimorphia; Didelphidae
Source: Rfam
GAAUUGGAUUUUUUAAAAUCCACAAACACUGUAGCUAGUGGUCUAU